This 330-nucleotide long non-coding RNA is filed under the name Phoenix dactylifera (date palm). Its description in RNAcentral is "long non-coding RNA (PDAC_LNC019844)". Lineage: Eukaryota; Viridiplantae; Streptophyta; Magnoliopsida; Arecales; Arecaceae. The record is from RNAcentral.
UAGCAAAGCCAAGUUGACUCAAUCGAGUGAUCAAGUCUAUAACCUUUAAACAGUGGUCUUGCACAGACGAUCCCUCGAUCAUUCUAGCACGGAACAACUGCUUAGAUAUCUCAUAUCUAGCAGUUCUGCUCUGCUCACCAUAUAACUCCCUCAAGUUAAGGAGUAUGGAGUGAGUAUCCAUGCUAUCAUGCUGCCUCUGCAAUUCAUUAUUCAUAGAAGCAAGCAUGAUACAUUUGACAGUCAAACUGUCAUUUUUCCACAUACGAUAUGUGGCCAAUUCCUCCUCAGUUGCAUCUUUUCCUGCCGACCCUAGGUCAGGGGUUUCAAGAA